Molecule: ribosomal RNA, 250 nt
Filed under: uncultured prokaryote
Description: partial 16S ribosomal RNA
Rfam family: Bacterial small subunit ribosomal RNA
Source: RNAcentral
UACGUAGGUGGCGAGCGUUGUCCGGAUUUACUGGGUGUAGAGGGCGUGUAGACGGGUUAGUAAGUUGGAUGUGAAAUAUCACGGCUCAACCGUGGGGCUGCAUUCAAAACUGCAAAUCUUGAGUGCCGGAGAGGAAAGCGGAAUUCCUAGUGUAGCGGUGAAAUGCGUAGAUAUUAGGAGGAACACCGGUGGCGAAGGCGGCUUUCUGGACGGUAACUGACGUUGAGGCGCGAAAGCGUGGGGAGCAAAC